Long non-coding RNA from Pipistrellus kuhlii (Kuhl's pipistrelle), 1056 nucleotides. RefSeq lists it as uncharacterized. The record is from RefSeq and is a predicted model, not a curated record. NCBI's taxonomy places the organism in Eukaryota, Metazoa, Chordata, Mammalia, Chiroptera, Vespertilionidae. The transcript is spliced from 2 exons.
ACAGAGGACUUUCACUUUUUGACGCUGGCAGCUGGAAAUCAGCUCUCGGUUGGACACUGACUGUUGCUGAGUGCCUCCUGGUAUAAAAAAUAUGGAUCCAGAAAAGAAAGAAUCAUUUGAUGUGAACCACAGAGACGCCUGCCAGCCUGGCUGUAAUUCCAGAGGAGAUAGAAAUAGCAGAGCUCAUGGCUCCAACUCCCAUCCUCCCUUUGGCCAGAAGUCCUUCUCCGCAGAUGCCGGAGUUUUAAUUUCUUUCAUUGCCUUGGCUACCUCAAGCCUCAUCCUGGGGUGAUGGAACUUUGUCAGAGCAUCAGGAUUGGGCUGGCAUGCUUUCCAGAGGCCGUGGCCUAGAGAAGCACAUAAGAACAUUUCAUUAUCUCCUUAGGAGGCACGGUCAGGAUGUCAUUGUCCCUCCUGUUUCCUUCAAGCCAAGUGACCCCACCAAAGGAAGUCAUGUGAUUGAACCCACCACCACCAUCUCCAUCAACUCUCCUUGCCCCCAACCCCAUCAUAUAAUCUAAAGAAAAGCACUGUGCUUGCUAACUCCAGAGAGUAAACCCACUCCACACACACUGCUACAGCAAACUCCUGGAGUUAAGCUGAACUUGCUCAAGCAUGAACGCCUGAAAUAGUUUCCACAAAUGCUGCUAAUGUGUAAGAAACAACUUAUAUAAUGCAGAGUUCCUUUGAUCCUCAUAGUUUACAUUUCUAGAAGGUUUUUUGCAAAUUGUUCAUUUUAUGUAUCCACGAGGCUGGGCCAUGGUGCCCAGAUACUUGAUCAAACAUUAUUCUGGAUGCUCCAGUGAAGAUGUUUUUGGAUGAGAUUAACAUUGACAUUGGUGGAUUUGGAGUAAAGCAAUUUACCCUUAAUAAUGGAGCUUGGCUUCGUCCAGUCUGUUGAAGACCUUAAAGAAACAGAUGGUCUUCCCUUGAGCAAGGCUCAAAUUGCAGUUCUUCCUGAAUCUCCAGCCGCUGGCCUACCCCAUCUGGGCUCACCCAGCUUCCACAAUCACGUGAGUCAAUUCUCUAAAAUAAAAGUCUCUUUCUAUAUAUUUA